AGUUUGAAGACGGUAGCCCGGGUAGCCAACGACAAUCACCCUUUCCACUUAUGCAUACUAUCGCACCGUAUCCGUGUGCUUCGAGUUCGGCUCAAGUUCGGCUUAGUAGAGAGAGAAGACGAAACAUAAGUCGUCGUCAGUCGGCUGCGCGUCGCUCGGAUCUUACCGAAUCAGGAGCAAAAGUAACAGACUGAUGUUUCGUCUUCUCUCUCUACUAAGCCGAACUUGAGUCGCGCUCGGAGCACACGGACACGGUGCGAUAGUAUGCGUAAGUGGAGGGGCUAAUUCUCGUUGAUGUUGAUUGAGUUGAUUCCCGUUCUCCUCCUCAACGCUCAAACUGGUCACUCCUGCUCCUGGACCUCUUGGUGACGUUGACGUUAGGCGUUAGUGAUUGGAGUUUGGUUCCACUUAACCCUUCUAAUUAAAUAAUUCUACUGAAAUGAAAAUUGAACAGCAAGAAAGUUUGAAACACAUACAACAAGUGGAAGAGAAGGCAGGUGAGAUACUCACUGACAGGCAAGAAAUAAUUGCUUUGGACAAAAGAAGAAAUGAGGAUAGAGUUGGUAUGAGAGCAUUGCAAAAGGAAAAUUGCAAGAAAACUUGGAUAACUGUAGGACCACUAUUAAUUAAAAUGCCAUCUACAACUGCCGAAGAAUUACUUGUUAAAGAUCAAAAAGAGUGUGACAUAGAAAUAAAUAAAAUAAGGAGUAAUUUAAAAAUAAAAGUGAAUGAAUUAAGAGACCUAGAACUUAAUCCACCUGUAUCAGGUUUAAUGUUACAACCUUUGACUCACAAAGAAAUGACUGCAAUAAAUCUAGUUAUGGGACAAAGUUCUUAACAUAUAAUAAUACUUUGAAUAAGUAUAAUAAGAAUACAAUUAAAUAGUACAAAUCUAUAAUUAUAGAAGCACCAAGAAACCACAAAUUAUCCAACCACUAGACGUAUUGAAUGGUGUAUGUAAUAGGUUUUUCAAAACACCUCGAUAGCAAAUAAAAUGCGCAGCUAAUCUGAUGAAUGAAAUUUAUAUAAAAAGUCAAUAUAUACAUGAUCGGUACGUAGAAAAUGUAAAUUUCAUUCAAUUAUCUAUUAAAGUUAUAAUUUUUAAUAACAUAGCCUUAGUACAUUUAUUCAAAAUAGUGAAAAGAAACCAACCGUUGCGUUUUGUUUUUGUUUACAUCUUGUGCCCUAAGGGAAUCGAAGUUAUUCGAUAUCCAUUUCAACAAGAAAUUGGUAUCCCAGGGUUCGUCUACUGUAGAUAUUGUGGUAUUUGCGUUGUAAUUGAGAUCGAAACGAACAUUUUUAUUUGCUGGUUCCUUAUAAUAUCUUAACUCUGACAGAUCAUCCACAUAUUCUCUUUCACUGUUCACACUGUAACUACCGAUUACUUCUAAAUCGGAUAUAUGCAUCGCGGAUCCACGUAUAAGAGGAACAGAGACUGUCUUAAUAUUUGAAUCUUGCAUUCUUCCAUUAAAAAUUGCGAUACAGAAUCAUACGGAAUCACUUCUCGAUGUGUUACUGUUUUUAUACAUACAUGAACUUGGAGACAGAAAAGUAGUUGGAUGGAACAGUAACGUCUAAAGACUGAUUGACCGAGAGAUUUUAUUCUAAAUGUAGUAUUCUCAGACGUGUACUAAAGGAAGACGGUUCCUCGUGAAGAAUGUUAGUAAGUAUGAAACGGUCAUAAAGUAAUUGUCCCAAUUUCUGUUUACGUCGGUUUGUAUGAUCUUGAAGUUACAGAAAAAUAAUCCAGCAUAGACAUUCGAACGUGGACAGAAAUUGAGACAUUUACAAUGAAGAAAUAAAAUUUAAUCCAAAUACAAAUUGAUACCAACACAUUUAAAGGACAUAUUGAUAGAAACCUUUAUAUCUUUUUUAAUAAAUUGAUUAAAUCGGUCA
This is an RNA transcript of Ceratina calcarata, 1896 nucleotides long. It is a transcript of the gene named Pdrg1 prefoldin-like subunit, with no coding region annotated. The transcript has 3 exons. The record is from RefSeq and is a predicted model, not a curated record. Lineage: Eukaryota; Metazoa; Arthropoda; Insecta; Hymenoptera; Apidae.